This 444-nucleotide ribosomal RNA is filed under the name uncultured bacterium. RNAcentral's name for it is "bacterial SSU rRNA". It matches the Rfam family "Bacterial small subunit ribosomal RNA", at positions 17 to 507 of the family's 1533-position model. The record is from RNAcentral.
UCCUGGCUCAGAACGAACGCUGGCGGCAUGCCUAACACAUGCAAGUCGAACGAGACCUUCGGGUCUAGUGGCGCACGGGUGCGUAACGCGUGGGAACCUGCCUUUAGGUUCGGAAUAACUCAGAGAAAUUUGAGCUAAUACCGGAUAAUGUCUUCGGACCAAAGAUUUAUCGCCUUUAGAUGGGCCCGCGUUGGAUUAGCUAGUUGGUGGGGUAAAGGCCUACCAAGGCGACGAUCCAUAGCUGGUCUGAGAGGAUGAUCAGCCACACUGGGACUGAGACACGGCCCAGACUCCUACGGGAGGCAGCAGUGGGGAAUAUUGGACAAUGGGCGAAAGCCUGAUCCAGCAAUGCCGCGUGAGUGAUGAAGGCCUUAGGGUUGUAAAGCUCUUUUACCCGAGAUGAUAAUGACAGUAUCGGGAGAAUAAGCUCCGGCUAACUCCGUG